AGUGAACGCUGGCGGUAGGCCUAACACAUGCAAGUCGAACGGCAGCACAGUAAGAGCUUGCUCUUACGGGUGGCGAGUGGCGGACGGGUGAGGAAUACAUCGGAAUCUACUUUUUCGUGGGGGAUAACGUAGGGAAACUUACGCUCAUACCGCAUACGACCUACGGGUGAAAGCAGGGGAUCUUCGGACCUUGCGCGAUUGAAUGCGCCGAUGUCGGAUUAGCUGGUUGGCGGGGUAAAUGCCCACCAAGGCGACGAUCCGUAGCUGGUCUGAGAGGAUGAUCAGCCACACUGGAGCUGAGACACGGUCCAGACUCCUACGGGAGGCAGCAGUGGGGAAUAUUGGACAAUGGGCGCAAGCCUGAUCCAGCCAUACCGCGUGGGUGAAGAAGGCCUUCGGGUUGUAAAGCCCUUUUGUUGGGAAAGAAAAGCAGCAGGUUAAUACCCCGCUGUUCUGACGGUACCCAAAGAAUAAGCACCGGCUAACUUCGUG
This 492-nucleotide ribosomal RNA is filed under the name uncultured bacterium. Its description in RNAcentral is "partial 16S ribosomal RNA". It matches the Rfam family "Bacterial small subunit ribosomal RNA", at positions 29 to 507 of the family's 1533-position model. The record is from RNAcentral.